AGAGCGAACGCUGGCGGCAGGCUUAACACAUGCAAGUCGAACGGAUCCUUCGGGAUUAGUGGCGGACGGGUGAGUAACACGUGGGAACGUGCCUUUAGGUUCGGAACAACACAGGGAAACUUGUGCUAAUACCGGAUAAGCCCUUAGGGGGAAAGAUUUAUCGCCUUUAGAGCGGCCCGCGUCUGAUUAGCUUGUUGGUGAGGUAAAGGCUCACCAAGGCUACGAUCAGUAGCU
This 234-nucleotide ribosomal RNA is filed under the name uncultured bacterium. RNAcentral's name for it is "partial small subunit ribosomal RNA". It matches the Rfam family "Bacterial small subunit ribosomal RNA", at positions 26 to 288 of the family's 1533-position model. The record is from RNAcentral.